This 71-nucleotide transfer RNA is filed under the name Toxeutes macleayi. RNAcentral's name for it is "tRNA-Lys". Lineage: Eukaryota; Metazoa; Arthropoda; Insecta; Coleoptera; Cerambycidae. The record is from RNAcentral.
CAUUAGGUGGCUGAAAGCAAGCAAUGGAAUUUUAAACCAUAAAAUAGUGAAAUAGCGAGUACUUCUAAUGA